CUGUUUUUAUGCUGCCGCUUCUCACAACGGGUUUGGUCCAGGGCUUGGACGCAAGCAUCCUUCACAAUACCAGAUGACCGCUUAGGUAGUAUAGAGUCUUGGUGGAUCAAUACAUGGAGAGAGAUUCCAAAGAGGGCCAGACGAAAUUUUGACACUAUAACCAUCCUGAUCCACUCGAGAAUUUGGAAAGAAAGAAAUGCAAGGAUUUUCAAGCAAGUGGCCAGUAAUGUUGACAUGAUACUUGAGCUUAUCAAGAAGGACAUCGCUGUUUGUAGAGCUGCCGGUUGUGUAGGCAACUUCUACUGA
This 306-nucleotide ribosomal RNA is filed under the name Triticum aestivum (bread wheat). RNAcentral's name for it is "partial small subunit ribosomal RNA". The record is from RNAcentral. Lineage: Eukaryota; Viridiplantae; Streptophyta; Magnoliopsida; Poales; Poaceae.